Molecule: long non-coding RNA, 2890 nt
Organism: Cataglyphis hispanica
Lineage: Eukaryota; Metazoa; Arthropoda; Insecta; Hymenoptera; Formicidae
Exons: 3
Source: RefSeq, a predicted model, not a curated record
UUUGUUUACGGAAAAUUAAAUAAGGACAGAGCACGUUCAGAGAAGCGAACCCAGUACCCAGUCUUGUUUUGGCUCUUAUCCUUUAUCGACACAUAGGGUCUGUUCCUUUUGUUGAACUGGCUGCACUAAUUCAGAGUUUCUCCACAUUGGAAAGAAAAAGAUAAACUCUGAACUAGUGCAACUAGUUCAGCAAAACGAACAGACCCAUGGUUUAACGGCGCUGCUUUCUGUUCGUUGUUCACGUAAUGAUACAUCAGUAACAAUAUUUUUAUAUUAUCUAGAAUUAUAUGUGAGAGAUAUGAUAAAAUGUGUUUUUAUACGUUAUGUUUACUCUCGUGAAAUUUCUUAAUUUUUCUCAUAUGACAAAAGUACAAUAAUAUAUUAAAUACUUGUCACGGUUUUUUAUAUAUAACCUUCAAAUUGUAUAAGAUAACGAAUUAAUAUUCUAAGUUUUCAAAAAGACGACGAAGAAGGUCACUAAAAUGAAUGUGAAUGUGAAAAGUGUAUGCAGAAAAACAACUCAAAAAGUAAAUUUAUCUAUUGCUAUAAAUGAAAAAUUCCAAAGGUGUUUAAAGAAUUAUUUUUACUUAUAAAAGUAAUAAAAGAAUGCUAUAAAGAACUAAAGAAAAGCUACAGUUUCGAAAAAGAAAAUGUGAAUAUAACAGAUGGGAAUGAACUUACAUUUUAAAUUGCAUUGAAUUUUUCUUCACAAAGUAUAGAAGAAUUGGAAAAAGUGGAACAAUAUUUUCAAGAACGAAAUAAAUCAAUUUUUCAAUCAACUGUGUAACCUCUUUUUAACACCUUUGUUUCUCAUCUAUAUGUGAAGUUCCAUAUAUUCUUUAUUGUCAAUUUGUGUCCAUUUGACGUCCAUUGGAUAUCUCUUAAAGAUGUCAAGGAUUAAACCAUGUUCACCAUUUUAAUAUUUGGAUAUAUCGUGAAUAUCAUUAUAUAUUUGAGGGACAUAAAACGGACAUUUUAUGGGCAUUUUUCUUGAAGAAUAUUUGUGGGAUAUUUUUCAGAUACCUAUGUACUAUCUGGACAUUACUGUUGUCAUGUGACGUAUUUAUUUCAUGAUACAUAUUUCUUGCUCCAAGAAACGUUUAAUGUGUCUUGUAAGUGUCGUCUGUUUUUAAGCAUUUGUAAAAUAAUAUUCAUGAUAUUUAUGCAAGUAAGUGGUAUUUUUACAUAUACAUACACACACGUAUGCAAUUAAAGAAGAAAUCGUUAAAUAGUAUGAGAGUGACGAACACAGAGUCUUAAUCUCUAUAUGAAAGCUGUAUACAGAAACACACAUAUUUAUAUAUAAACAUACGUGUAUAUAUUUUCACUGUAUAUUCUAGUAGCUGUUUUUUAUUUUUCUAUUUUUUUUUAAUUAUAAUUUAAAUUAUAAUUGUAAUGGAAACUUGUGAUGAAUUGAGUAAAAAACGUAAGCGAGGUUUUGCAGAAGCUUGGCUUACUGAUGAUCGAUAUAAAUCUUGGAUAUGCAAAGUAUCAUCUGAUCAAAGUCUUUAUUAUUGUAGUAUAUGCAACAAAAAUUUUUCAUGUAAUUCAACACAUGUAUCUAGACAUGUGGAUUCUGCGUGUCAUAGAAAUAAUAUUGAUAAGGCAAAAACAAUAUUAGCUGAUGCUGAUUGUGAAAAUAAUUUACCAACAAAAAAGUCAUCACGUAAAUCUGUAUUUCAACAAAGAUGGUUAGAAAUUGAACAAUUUAAAUGCUGGUUACAUGAAGUGCCACACGACACAAAUUUAUUUUUUUGUUCCAUUUGCGAUAAAUCUAUUGCUGGCGGUUUAUCGCAAAUCUAUCGACACGCUGAAUCUAAAACACAUAUAGAUAAAUAUGAAAAAAAUAAUAUUGAAUUAAGCAAAUCGAAUGAAGAAAAAAAAUCCAAUAUGCAAAUUAAUGAAUCAUUUUUAACAUUUGAUGACCGUAGAAAAUCAGCGGAAAUUAGAUAUGCCGCCUUAAUUGCUGACAAAAAUAUUCCCCAUCAAACUGCAGAAGAGAUUCUCAACUUCUUUCAACAUAUAGGAAAAGAUCAUACUGUAUUAAAAAAUAUGGAAAUGGGCCAACCAAAAUUAUAUUAAUAUACUAAUAUUAUUACAUAUGUGUUUUAGGUUCGGUUAAGAUGAGUCGCAUCGUUAAAUUUUGUGUUCUAAGUGUUUUAUUUUUAUUGAGGUCCGAUAUUAAUACUAAUGAUAAAUGAAUGUUUUAUUUUUUUGCUCAAGACGUUAAUUUAGAGACAUUAGAUAUUCGCUCAUAAUUAAUGAAAAUAAUUAAUAUUGAUGUCAAGGAUUCAAGCGGAGAAAAAUUAUUUCAUACAUUUAGAAAGUAAUAUUUUAUUAGCCCAAAUUUAUAAUAAGUGUAGUGUAAGUCUUAAACUAUAACAAAAAUUGAUUAAUCACAGUCAAAUGUGAAGAAAAUAAUUAAUUGUUAUUGGUAAUUUUUUUACGGUUUAAGGCUUACUACUAUACCUAUAGCAGAUCAGGUCUUACAUUUUUUUUACAUAAAAUUAAUAUCAGUAAAACUCAAUUUUUUACAUUGUUACGGUAUAUUGUAAAUACGUAAUUACGUAAAUAAUAGUUAAUAAUAUAAAUUAUAUUAAAAUGAAUUAUAAAAAUGAAUUAUAAAAAUUUAAUAUUUUUAAACAAUUGAUGCUUAUAUUGUUUAUUUACUAUACAUAUUCUACAAAUAAAUUACUUUUGCAAUCGAUACAUUUUUUCUCUUCUAAUAAAUCACGGCUGUAUAGCAUUAUCGAGUGAUAUGUUAUUACGUCAUAGUAUUUGCACUAUAUUUUCUUAUUAAUUUAGAAGAUUGAUUACAAAACUACGUAUGUAUGUCAAACAAAAGAAAAUGUUUAUUAAUGUCCAGUGCUGUAAAUAAAAAAAUUUUAAA